Molecule: ribosomal RNA, 490 nt
Filed under: uncultured bacterium
Lineage: Bacteria
Description: bacterial SSU rRNA
Rfam family: Bacterial small subunit ribosomal RNA
Source: RNAcentral
AGCGAACGUUUGCGGCGGGCUUAACACAUGCAAGUCGAACGGGCUGUUCCUUCGGGGGCGAGUCAGUGGCGCACGGGUGGCGUAACACGUAGGUAAUCAACCCUCUGGUUGGGGAGUAACACUUCGAAGGAGUGCUAAUACCCGGUAUGGCGCAGCGGUCUUCAGAUCGCGGCGAGAAAGACCCGCAAGGGUUGCCAGAGGACGAGCCUGCGGCCCAUCAGCUAGUUGGCGAGGUAACGGCUCACCAAGGCGAAGACGGGUAGCUGGUCUGAGAGGAUGAUCAGCCACACUGGAACUGAGACACGGUCCAGACUCCUACGGGAGGCAGCAGUGGGGGAAUAUUGCGCAAUGGGCGAAAGCCUGACGCAGCCACGCCGCGUGAGCGAUGAAGGCCUUCGGGUCGUAAAGCUCUGUGGGGAGAGAAGAAUAAAGCCUGUGAAGAGCAGGCCUUGACGGUAUCUCCUUAGCAAGCACCGGCUAACUCCGUGCC